This 621-nucleotide ribosomal RNA is filed under the name Triticum aestivum (bread wheat). Its description in RNAcentral is "partial small subunit ribosomal RNA". The record is from RNAcentral. Lineage: Eukaryota; Viridiplantae; Streptophyta; Magnoliopsida; Poales; Poaceae.
AUGUCGUCACAACCUCCGAAGAUUCUUGUGUGGAAUGUACGUGGGCUAAACUCCCCGGCUCGGCGGAGCUCGGUAUACCAAGUGGUGGUUGCCUCUAGUGCAAGCAUUGUGUGCCUCCAGGAGACGAAAAUGGAAGUGAUCACGGUGGAUGUUGUUAGACAGUGUCUUGGCAAUAAAUUUGACGGUUUCUAUUAUGUUCCCGCGGUGGGUACUCGUGGUGAGAUUCUCCUAGCUUGGGAUAGUGUGGUGGUCUCUAUCUCAAAUAGGCAUGUCACGGCCAAUACAGUCACUGGCCUUGUCACCCAAGAUGGGAUGCCCAUGUGGUGGCUCACGGGGGUGUAUGGACCCCAGGGAGAUGCGGAUAAGAUUGAAUUUAUCCAAGAAUUGAGGGACGUACGUGAUCUGCAUGCGGGUGCUUGGACAGUUGUGGGUGAUUUCAACCUGCUCGUAAAUCCCGAAGACAAGAACAGAGUCACGUUUAACCGCAGGAUGAUGGCGAGGUUUCAUGCCUUCCUAAACCGGAUGGAACUUAAGGAGCUUUAUCCCAAUGGCAGACGCUACACUUGGUCGAAUGAGAGGCGGAACCCAACCAUGGAGAAGAUAGACCACAUCUUCGUAACC